Molecule: ribosomal RNA, 468 nt
Filed under: uncultured bacterium
Lineage: Bacteria
Description: partial 16S ribosomal RNA
Rfam family: Bacterial small subunit ribosomal RNA
Source: RNAcentral
GACGAACGCUGGCGGCGUGCUUAACACAUGCAAGUCGAACGGAAAGGCCCUGCUUUUGUGGGGUGCUCGAGUGGCGAACGGGUGAGUAACACGUGAGUAACCUGCCCUUGACUUUGGGAUAACUUCAGGAAACUGGGGCUAAUACCGGAUAGGAGCUCCUGCUGCAUGGUGGGGGUUGGAAAGUUUCGGCGGUUGGGGAUGGACUCGCGGCUUAUCAGCUUGUUGGUGGGGUAGUGGCUUACCAAGGCUUUGACGGGUAGCCGGCCUGGGAGGGUGACCGGCCACAUUGGGCCUGGGAUACGGCCCAGACUCGUACGGGAGGCAGCAGUGGGGAAUAUUGCACAAUGGGCGGAAGCCUGAUGCAGCAACGCCGCGUGCGGGAUGACGGCCUUCGGGUUGUAAACCGCUUUCGCCUGUGACGAAGCGUGAGUGACGGUAAUGGGUAAAGAAGCACCGGCUAACUACGUG